CAAGAACUGGGGCCAGACCACCGGAUGCAAAUGCAAGAGACAAAAGUUGAAGGAAUUCAUUACCAUCAAACCUGCACUGGAAGAAAUGUUAAGGACUGUGCUUUGAACAGAAGACAAAUUAUGAAAAAGGGAAUCCUGAAGAUGAUCCUGGGAAACCUGAGCUCCUACAUAUUCUUGGACAAUAGCUGUGAUCAUAGAAAUUUUAGAUGUUCUUGAGAAGAUGUGACAGAAAAGCUACCAAGACUACAAAAUUUAAAGACAAGCCAUCAAGACUGCAAAAUAGUCUGGAGAGAUGAAUUCAGAGAGCUAAUACACGUAAAUACAGUGCUCAUU
Mesocricetus auratus (golden hamster) is the source of this 333-nucleotide long non-coding RNA. RefSeq lists it as uncharacterized. The transcript is spliced from 3 exons. The record is from RefSeq and is a predicted model, not a curated record. NCBI's taxonomy places the organism in Eukaryota, Metazoa, Chordata, Mammalia, Rodentia, Cricetidae.